UACGGAGGGGGCAAGCGUUAUCCGGAAUGAUUGGGCGUAAAGCGUCCGCAGGUGGCAAUGUAAGUCUGCUGUCAAAGCGUCUGGCUCAACCAGAUAAAGGCAGUGGAAACUACAUAGCUAGAGUAAGGUAGGGGUAGAGGGAAUUCCUGGUGUAGCGGUGAAAUGCGUAGAGAUCAGGAAGAACACCGGUGGCGAAAGCGCUCUGCUGGACCUUAACUGACACUGAGGGACGAAAGCUAGGGGAGCGAAUGGG
Molecule: ribosomal RNA, 253 nt
Filed under: uncultured bacterium
Lineage: Bacteria
Description: partial 16S ribosomal RNA
Rfam family: Bacterial small subunit ribosomal RNA
Source: RNAcentral